CUGUAAAUGAUUGGCGGUCAGAAACUUGGACCUUGUCUCUACACACAGGAGAGAGCUGCUGCCUUUCUGUGGUGGACUUCGGAAGAUUUCCUUGUGAGGGAGCUGGUGGUGAAGAUCUCGAGGUCCUCCUUGAUUCCUGCGAUCAGCUUCAGUCUUCCUGAUGUUUCUCCAAUUAUGCCUCUCUCAGUGGGUCAACAGAACAUCUGGCACAGGACAGCU
Long non-coding RNA from Oreochromis niloticus (Nile tilapia), 219 nucleotides. RefSeq lists it as uncharacterized. The transcript is spliced from 2 exons. NCBI's taxonomy places the organism in Eukaryota, Metazoa, Chordata, Actinopteri, Cichliformes, Cichlidae. The record is from RefSeq and is a predicted model, not a curated record.